AAGCAGUUAAUCAAGAUAUUGUAAGUAAAAAGAUCUGGAAACAACCCAGUUGAAUUGAGUCUCUAGAAGAGUAAAAGGACAGUAUCAUAAUGCUUAUUCUUAGCGAGGCCAGCGAGCAAAAUAUUGAAGGAAGAGACAGGAGGCGGAGAAGGGUGCAUACGGAGCAUGUAAUCAAAGAUACAAAAGGCUUCAUUAGGAGUAAUAACAUUAAUAUCGGCGGAGAAGGGUGCAUACGUUGAAGGAAGAGACAGGAGGCGGAGAAGGGUGCAUACGGAGCAUGUAAUCAAAGAUACAAAAGGCUUCAUUAGGAGUAAUAACAUUAAUAUCACCUUCACCUGAUGAUUUACAUCUUUCUUUCAGGAAUUUGUCGAGGGAGGCUCUGUCUUUGACUUUGGCUGUCAGCAGUAACCAAUCGUUCCGUUUAGUUGUUGUAGCUGGAAAUGAGGGUUCAUUUUUGGAAUUGGAAUUAGAAUUAGAAGUACGAGUAGUGAGGUCUCGGAAGUGAACAAGUAAAGAUGAGAAGUUAGAUUUGAAAGCUGAUAUUGGUGCUGAAGCAAAAGAGAAUGAACGAUUACAACAAGAUUCGAAUCCCAUUGAAGAGUUUUUUUCAAGGUUCUAAUCUAUACUUCCGGUUACCUAUUUUAUUAUGCACGGGGGAGAGACAAUAGUCUAACUAAUCGAAUUGGGUUGGUG
RNAcentral lists this long non-coding RNA (693 nucleotides) under Citrus sinensis (sweet orange). Its description in RNAcentral is "long non-coding RNA (CSIN_LNC003396)". The record is from RNAcentral. Lineage: Eukaryota; Viridiplantae; Streptophyta; Magnoliopsida; Sapindales; Rutaceae.